UAUUGCUUNNGAANGAGGAAUCCCUAGUAAGCGUGAGUCAUCAGCUCACGUUGAUUACGUCCCUGCCCUUUGUACACACCGCCCGUCGCUACUACCGAUUGAAUGGCUUAGUGAGACCUUUGGAUUGGGGUUUAGGGAUCGGAAACGAACCUUAUUCUCCGAGAAGUCGGUCAAACUUGGUCAUUUAGAGGAAAGUAAAAGUCGUAACAAGGUUUCCGUAGGUGAACCUGCGGAAGGAUCAUU
This 243-nucleotide ribosomal RNA is filed under the name Diversispora spurca. Its description in RNAcentral is "partial 18S ribosomal RNA". It matches the Rfam family "Eukaryotic small subunit ribosomal RNA", at positions 1591 to 1830 of the family's 1831-position model. The record is from RNAcentral. Lineage: Eukaryota; Fungi; Glomeromycota; Glomeromycetes; Diversisporales; Diversisporaceae.